CGCAUCUGUGCAUGCAGCAUAUCAAUAAGGCGGAGGAAAAGGCUGCGGAACUGAACGACCGCUACCUACGCUUAGGAUGUUGACACACGCGCGUGCUCGGCUCUAUACAUGACUCUGUGCAUAUCAAUAAGCGGAGGAAAAGAAACUAACAAGGAUUCCCCUAGUAACGGCGAGUGAAGCGGGAAGAGGCUCAAAUUUGAAAUCUUAAAGGGUUUCCCUUUACGAAUUGUAGUUUAAAGAAGUGUUUUCUGUUGAGGUUUUGGUAAAAGUUCUUUGGAAUAGGACAUCAUAGAGGGUGAGAAUCCCGUAUUUGACCUUUACUUUCAACUUUGUGAUACACUUUCAAAGAGUCGGAUUGUUUGGGAAUGCAGUCCAAAAUGGGUGGUAAAUUUCAUCUAAAGCUAAAUAUUGGCGAGAGACCGAUAGCGAACAAGUACCGUGAGGGAAAGAUGAAAAGAACUUUGAAAAGAGAGUUAAACAGUACGUGAAAUUGUCAAAAGGGAAGCGUUUGACACCAGUGUUGUUUUUCUGAAAAUCAAUUAAAGAACUGUUUAUGCUAAGCUGUUUAGACUUUAUCAGCUAUCUGUUUAGUUUUGAGCUUUUCUUUAAUGCACUUUUCAGUUAACAAGUCAACAUCAAUUUCUUUUGCUGUAAAAAAGCUUGAGGAAGGUGGCUUGAGAUUCGUCUUAAGUGUUUAUAGCCUCUUGCCUAUGCAGUCGGAGAGAUUGAGGUCUGCAGCGUAGAUCCUUCGGGGCUAAAUGCAUUUGUGCUAAGUUAUAGCAUUUCAUAGACAACUUGUUGACUAUGAUUUGUCUUGUAGCUUACUCGCUUAUGUUAUUUUACCUACGCUUAGGAUGUUGACAGCAGUAUAGACUG
Molecule: ribosomal RNA, 876 nt
Filed under: uncultured Neocallimastigales
Lineage: Eukaryota; Fungi; Neocallimastigomycota; Neocallimastigomycetes; Neocallimastigales
Description: partial large subunit ribosomal RNA
Rfam family: Eukaryotic large subunit ribosomal RNA
Source: RNAcentral